Molecule: ribosomal RNA, 497 nt
Filed under: uncultured bacterium
Lineage: Bacteria
Description: partial 16S ribosomal RNA
Rfam family: Bacterial small subunit ribosomal RNA
Source: RNAcentral
GAUGAACGCUGGCGGCGUGCCUAAUACAUGCAAGUCGAGCGAACAGACGAGGAGCUUGCUCCUCUGACGUUAGCGGCGGACGGGUGAGUAACACGUGGAUAACCUACCUAUAAGACUGGGAUAACUUCGGGAAACCGGAGCUAAUACCGGAUAACAUGUUGAACCGCAGGGUUCAACAGUGAAAGACGGUCUUGCUGUCACUUAUAGAUGGAUCCGCGCCGCAUUAGCUAGUUGGUAAGUUAACGGCUUACCAAGGCAACGAUGCGUAGCCGACCUGAGAGUGUGAUCGGCCACCCGGGAGCUGAGCCGCGGUCCAGACUCCUGCGGGAGGGAGCAGUCGGGAAUCUUCCGCAAUGGGCGAGAGCCUGACGGAGCAGCGCCGCGUGAGUGAAGAAGAUCUUCGGAUCGUAAAACUCUGUUAUUAGGGAUGAACAAAUGUGUAAGUAACUAUGCACGUCUUGACGGUACCUAAUCAGAAAGCCACGGCUAACUACGUG